This 441-nucleotide ribosomal RNA is filed under the name uncultured bacterium. Its description in RNAcentral is "partial 16S ribosomal RNA". It matches the Rfam family "Bacterial small subunit ribosomal RNA", at positions 338 to 795 of the family's 1533-position model. The record is from RNAcentral.
CCUACGGGAGGCAGCAGUGGGGAAUAUUGGACAAUGGGGGGAACCCUGAUCCAGCGACGCCGCGUGAGUGAAGAAGUAUUUCGGUAUGUAAAGCUCUAUCAGCAGGGAAGAAGAAAGACGGUACCUGACUAAGAAGCCCCGGCUAACUACGUGCCAGCAGCCGCGGUAAUACGUAGGGGGCAAGCGUUAUCCGGAUUUACUGGGUGGAAAGGGAGCGUAGACGGCUGUGCAAGUCUGAAGUGAAAGCCCAGGGCUCAACCCUGGGACUGCUUUGGAAACUGUGGAGCUAGAGUGCUGGAGAGGUAAGUGGAAGUCCUGGUGUAGCGGUGAAAUGCGUAGAUAUUAGGAGGAACACCAGUGGCGAAGGCGGCUUACUGGACAGUAACUGACGUUGAGGCUCGAAAGCGUGGGGAGCAAACAGGAUUAGAUACCCUAGUAGUC